UACGUAGGUGGCGAGCGUUAUCCGGAAUUAUUGGGUGUAAAGAGCGCGCAGGUGGUUGAUUAAGUCUGAUGUGAAAGCCCACGGCUUAACCGUGGAGGGUCAUUGGAAACUGGUCGACUUGAGUGCAGAAGAGGGAAGUGGAAUUCCAUGUGUAGCGGUGAAAUGCGUAGAGAUAUGGAGGAACACCAGUGGCGAAGGCGGCUUCCUGGUCUGUAACUGACACUGAGGCGCGAAAGCGUGGGGAGCAAACAGGAUUAGAUA
RNAcentral lists this ribosomal RNA (261 nucleotides) under uncultured prokaryote. Its description in RNAcentral is "partial 16S ribosomal RNA". It matches the Rfam family "Bacterial small subunit ribosomal RNA", at positions 524 to 784 of the family's 1533-position model. The record is from RNAcentral.